CAACUGCAGAAUGCAAAAUUAUACAUCUGGGCUCACGUACUCUGUUUUGUUGUCUAAUUUGUUUUUUUCAUCUCCUCUAUGCAUUUACAACUUAAAAAUACUAUUUAAAAUGUAGAAUGAAUCAAAGAAACCCAGUCUAAAAGUACAUCUUCUAAAAUGUUGUCAAAUGGCUUUCAGAUCCUUGCACAAGUGACUUUUUCCUUUGGUUUUAGCACUGGCAUGUGCAUUGGAAUACUCUUCAAUAAAAUUCAUCCUUGUGAAAGUAUACCAUAUGGUGUCAUCAGUAAAUUACUGUAAAAAGGAUAAUUGGAUUUUGAAACCAUAAUUCUCUGGACUAAAGACACUGGGUGCCAUGGAAAGGAAAGGAGACACCUGGAAAUGAGAAGACACUGACAUCUGAAGAUGCUUUCCGAUCUUCCAUGAAUAUGUGAAAUACAAAAUGUCAGUAGUCUCCAAAAUGUGAACGUAAUCUUAGUAGAAGUGGAUCAUCUACAGAAGGUAAUUUUGCCACAGUGGUCAAAUAUUUUUGUUAAAUACUCCUGUUUUACAGACAUGCAUAGCAUUAACUGACACACAGUGUAUAGCUAGAAACAUGUUCUUAAGGAAAAUGUUCAGAAACAGAUUUCUUACUUUUUUGCUAAAUUGCAAACUAACAGGUUAAUAACUGCUGUGAAGUGCUAGAUAGUUGGAGUAGUAUUUACCAAGAAUGAGAAAGAAGAUAGGGGCAUAUGAUUGAGAAGGUGGGAGUGAGGAAAAGAAAAGGUAUUUAUUCCUGACUCCUCACUUGAUGUUGUUUAUUUUCAUUUUGUUGUUGUUAUUGUUUUACUUUAUCUUAUGUGUCAGACCAGAGUUUCACAAACAUCCCCAAAUAAUUACGUGGGUCAUAAAAAUAUAUCCAG
RNAcentral lists this long non-coding RNA (899 nucleotides) under Homo sapiens (human). RNAcentral's name for it is "HSALNT0288038". Lineage: Eukaryota; Metazoa; Chordata; Mammalia; Primates; Hominidae. The record is from RNAcentral.